AUUAUUAUACCACGUUGAAAACAUUGGUUCUCAUCAGAUCCCUGAAGUUAAGCAACGACAUGCCUGGCCAAAAACUUCUGAGGGUGAUUACCUAGAAAUACUGGGUACUGUAGUUU
Molecule: non-coding RNA, 116 nt
Organism: Cordylochernes scorpioides
Lineage: Eukaryota; Metazoa; Arthropoda; Arachnida; Pseudoscorpiones; Chernetidae
Source: the annotation of a GenBank genome assembly